RNA transcript from Callithrix jacchus (white-tufted-ear marmoset), 3797 nucleotides. It is a transcript of the gene named ankyrin repeat and MYND domain containing 2, with no coding region annotated. Lineage: Eukaryota; Metazoa; Chordata; Mammalia; Primates; Cebidae. The record is from RefSeq and is a predicted model, not a curated record.
ACAGGCGGCGGGCGGUGACUGCCGCGAGGCCUGCAGAGACCGCCCGCUCGGCUCGCCCGAGCUCGCCCGCUGUCCGCUAGCCUGCUGGAGGCAGGAGAGAAGCGGAGCGCUUCCGCGGUUGGCACUCAGUGUCUUGGUCUCAACUUGCCUCUUUGCGGCAGGCGUUCCCAAUACAGACGCAUCAUUUCUUUUUUAAUACUUCCUAAGACACGGAAUAACCUUCAAGCUGGCGGGACCAAUGGUUCACAUAAAGAAAGGCGAGCUGACCCAGGAGGAGAAGGAGCUGCUGGAAGUCAUCGGGAAAGGUACUGUCCAAGAAGCUGGAACAUUAUUAUCCAGCAAGAAUGUUCGUGUCAACUGUUUGGACGAGAAUGGAAUGACUCCUCUAAUGCAUGCAGCAUAUAAAGGAAAACUCGAUAUGUGCAAAUUACUACUGAGACAUGGAGCCGACGUAAAUUGUCAUCAACAUGAACAUGGAUACACAGCCCUCAUGUUUGCUGCACUUUCUGGUAAUAAAGACAUCACAUGGGUAAUGUUGGAAGCUGGUGCUGACACAGAUGUUGUCAACUCCGUGGGAAGAACAGCAGCUCAGAUGGCAGCCUUUGUGGGUCAACAUGAUUGUGUGACCAUAAUCAACAAUUUCUUUCCUCGAGAGAGACUGGAUUAUUACACUAAGCCCCAGGGACUGGAUAAAGAGCCAAAACUGCCCCCAAAGUUGGCAGGCCCGCUGCACAAAAUUAUCACCACAACGAAUCUUCACCCUGUCAAGAUCGUGAUGCUUAUAAAUGAGAAUCCUCUGCUGACAGAAGAAGCAGCCCUGAAUAAAUGCUACAGAGUGAUGGAUUUGAUUUGUGAGAAAUGUAUGAAGCAAAGAGACAUGAAUGAAGUAUUGGCUAUGAAAAUGCAUUACAUAAGCUGUAUCUUUCAGAAAUGCAUUAACUUCUUAAAAGAUGGAGAGAAUAAACUGGACACCUUGAUCAAAAGCUUGUUAAAAGGCCGAGCUUCUGAUGGCUUUCCAGUAUAUCAAGAAAAGAUCAUUAGAGAAAGUAUCAGAAAAUUUCCUUACUGUGAAGCUACACUCCUCCAGCAGCUGGUUCGAAGCAUUGCUCCUGUUGAAAUUGGUUCUGAUCCCACUGCAUUCUCCGUCCUUACCCAAGCCAUCACUGGCCAGGUGGGUUUUGUGGAUGUGGAAUUUUGCACUACCUGUGGAGAAAAGGGAGCAAGUAAGCGAUGUUCAGUUUGCAAAAUGGUAAUAUAUUGUGAUCAAACCUGCCAGAAAACACACUGGUUUACUCAUAAGAAAAUCUGUAAGAAUCGGAAGGACAUUUACGAGAAGCAACAAUUAGAGGCUGCCAAAGAAAAGAGACGAGAGGAGAAUCACCACAAACUUGAUGUCAAUUCUAACUGUGUUAGUGAAGAGCAACCAGACGAUGAAGUGGGUGUCUCCCAAAAGGAUUCCAACCCUAAAGAUUCCGGGGAAGAAGAGAAAGAAUCUCUUGAAAGUGAGGCUGGGUUGGAAGGCUUACAGGAAGCUCCUGCAGGUCCACAGGUAUCCGAGGAGUAAAAGCCAGAGCAAGUGCUAGUGCGGAUGGUCCUCACCCUGCAGGGAGCUGGGAACUCAUGGGAAUGCGUCCUCCUCGCCUCAUUAUACCUGCAUGUCACCAUGGCAGGAUUCCUCAUUUCAUAGAAUAGAGGUUUUCAAGCAAAACCCUCUUGGCCAUGCCCUAAUUUCCUAUUGAUUUCUGUUCUAUAAUUGAAUGGAUAUUCCUAUGGAAAUUUUUUUGUCUCAAAAUACAGGAAAAACAUUCCUAUUACCUUUCUGAGGCUGGCUUUCCAGCAAUUGUUUCAAAGGAAAAUAGAUCCCCUUAAAGAAAAAAUAUAGGGUUUAGAGAACAAAGUGACAAGCAGAGCAGGUGUGAAAGAGAGAUUUUCAGGAAAGAAAAAAUUUAUAGCUACAGAGAUGGGUAGUUAGAGAAAUCAUAACUUAUAUGUGAAUGAAAUACAUAUAAACAGCAUUUACUGUAGUGACAUUCUACUUAUUAAAGUGCAAUGAAAUGAAGAAAAGCUAUAUGUUCAAGGACCCUUGCCAUAGUUCAGCUAAUUGUAGUUUUAUAUAGAAACUACAGUUUCUGUAUAGUAUACUGAUCCUGAACAGUCUGAACUGUACGUAGUCCUGCAGUGAUGUUCUGUCUGCAGUAUUUGUACCUCCAGGAUGGCAGACCCCUCAGCAGGAACAAAGGCUAUUGACGGUUCUCUCAGCAUGUGCAUUAAAAAAGGAUUGAAAUGGUGCCAUCUUGGCUCACAGCGACCUCCACCUCCCAGGUUCAAGUGAUUCUCCUCCUUCAGCUUCCCAAGAAGCUGAGAUUACAGAUCCAGCAGAUAAUCAACUAACAGCCAGGUGCCCUUUUAGGACUGAUAAGAAACAUUUUACAACCUGUUCUCUCUCAAGUCUAUCUGAGAGAUUCCUCUGCACAGCACAAUAAAACUUAAUCUCCACAAUCCUUUAUCUUUAACCUGAACAUUCCUUUCUAUGGAUCCCAGAGUUUUAGACAAAGUCAACCAACUGUCAGCUAGAAAAUGUUAAAAUUUACCAAUAGCCUGGAACCCCCUGCUUUGAGUUGUCCCGCCUUUCUGAACCAAACCAAUGUAUUUCUUAAAUGUAUUUGAUUGAUGUCUUAUGCCUCUCUCAAAUGUAUACAACCAAGCUGCACUGGGACCACCUUGGGCACAUAUCUUAGGACCUCCUGAGGGCUAUCAUGGGCCAUGGUCACUCAUAUUUGGCUUAGAAUAAACCUCUUCGAAUAUUUUACAGAGCUUGUCUCCUUUCGUUGACAGAUUGCCAUUAUUUUUGUCGCAAAAACCAACACAAGGUAUUUUUGCACCUAUUUACUGAUGUUUAUUUUUAAAAAACCUCAUAUUUAAAAUUGGAAUAGGGAAUGGUUAUGUAAAUUUUGAAAAUAUCAAAGCAUAAUUUCUAUGGACAAAGACAAUAUCUUAAUUUAGUAAAAAGAAACUUUCUUCUUCUCAUAAUUAUUUCAGUAGAUGAGCAGAUUUUACCCCCAAAGGUAGCUCUAUCCUGGUUCACAGGGCUGGUUGUAUAUAUCCUUUGAAGUCCUAGUUUUAUAAACAGCCAAAGGCAAAUGGUGAUCAUACUUUGCAGCAAAUAAAUUAGCUAGCUACAUAAUUGACCAUUUCAGGGGAAUGUAGCUAGCUAAUUCAAAUACUCAUACAAAACCACUUUAUCUGAUGAGAUUCCAAAUGGUUAAGAUUUUAAUGUGGAAAAAAUAAUCCCAGGAGAAAACAUGAGAAACCCAGAAACCACAAAAGGAAAUAAAUUUGGCUACAUUUAAAACAUAAUCUGAAUAUUUUUGCUCUUGGGAAGGUGGAGUGGACAUACUUUUCACUAUUAUUCCCACUAAGGAAAGCUAAAAACCCUGAGCAAUUGUAUAUUAAAAAAAUAUAAGAAGGCCCUGAAAGUUGGAGAGGUAGUAGACUGGCUAGGGAUCCUGGACCCAGCGGUUCCAUGUAGCAACACCUACUGAGUUCUCUGGCUUUUCUUCCUGCCUCACAUAGCCCAGACUUGGAGCUAAAGAAGCUGGAAAAUGGAAACACCAACAGCUACAGACCAAAAAAAGUCCCAACAAAGGCCUGCCAGUCUGCCAGCCUGUCCUGUGGAUUUCCAAAUCAUUGCAGCAUCAACUCAUACCUGAAGCUCUGGCUGCUCUACCAACUUUGAAUUUGCCAGUCCCCACAACGGCAUAAACCAAUUCCUUAAAAUAAAUCUCUAGUUCUACAUA